Zingiber officinale is the source of this 1039-nucleotide long non-coding RNA. RefSeq lists it as uncharacterized. The record is from RefSeq and is a predicted model, not a curated record. The transcript is spliced from 3 exons. Lineage: Eukaryota; Viridiplantae; Streptophyta; Magnoliopsida; Zingiberales; Zingiberaceae.
CUCUGACCGUCAAAUUUGAAGAUAGCUUUCUCUCCUCUUCUUUCCACUCCCCUCUCAUUUCAAGGUAGAUCUGGCCGCAGCAAGGUGCAGCGGCCACUAGCCGUGGCUGCGAGCCUAGGCGCAACCUUGGGUGCCGGCUCAGGCUAGCCGUGAGGAGGCUGGUUGCCGCACCCUUGGGGCCGGCUGCCAGGAGGUUGGUUGCUACACCCUCGAGGCUGGCCGCUAGACCUCGAGGCCAACUGGCAGGAAGCUGAGGCUCACUGGUCGCUGAGGCUAGCCAGCCAUUGAAGCUAUAUUUUGAAUUGAAUCUUAUUUUAUGUGAAACCUUCAUCUCUUUUCCCAUAGUUAUGAGUAGUCUGAUCCUCAUGUGAUGUUCCAAACACCUCUUCCUUAGGUGCCGGUUCAAGCUGGCCACAAGGAAGCUGGUCGCCGCACCCUCUAGGCUGGCCACGAGGCUGGCUGCCAGACCUCGAGGCCAGCUGGCCGGCCGCUGAGGCUUGCCGGUCGCUGAUACUGGCUGCUGGCCGACCGCUGAAGCUAAAUUUAGAAUUGAAUAUUAUUUUAGGUGAAACCUUCAUCUCUUUGCCCAGAAUUGUGAGCGUUCUCAUCCUCACGUGAUGUGCCAAACACCUCUUCCUCCUCUCUUGUGUUGCUGAAUCCCAUCACCGACAAAGCUAAUAUAGGGUUGGUGAGGUCAAGGAAGGUGGUGAAAAUUGGGAAUUUUUGGAAGAAGAAAAGAAGAAGGGAAAGUAUGGAAGGAGAAGGAAGUGUCUUAUGAGGAAGAAGAGGACGAUGAUCUUUUUUUAUAUCUUUUCAUUGUUUUGAGAUCGUUUGUUAUGAGAUAUUUUGGAUAUGAUGACUUGUUGAACUUGAAGAAUGUUAGAUUGGAAUUUGUAUGUGUUGGAAAUUAUUUACGUUUGUUUUGUAUUUGUAUCUUUAUUAACAUUGAAGUUUAUGUGUUGUAUGAAUAUGAGACUUGAGAAAGUUAUUGUGUCGUAUGCAUAUAUCUAUGGUAAUGUAUGAAUUGGAAUUGUGUGCA